CCUUCGAUAGCUCAGUUGGUAGAGCGGAGGACUGUAGAAUAAACGAGGCUGAAAUCCUUAGGUCGCUGGUUCGAAUCCGGCUCGAAGGA
Molecule: non-coding RNA, 89 nt
Organism: Danionella cerebrum
Lineage: Eukaryota; Metazoa; Chordata; Actinopteri; Cypriniformes; Danionidae
Source: the annotation of a GenBank genome assembly